CGUNAGAUGUUGGGUUAAGUCCCGCAACGAGCGCAACCCCUGCAUCCAGUUGCCAUCGGGCAAGCCGGGCACUCUGGAAGGACUGCCGGCGACAAGCCGGAGGAAGGUGGGGACGACGUCAAGUCAUCAUGGCCCUUAUGUCCAGGGCGACACACGUGCUACAAUGGCCGGCACAGCGGGAAGCGGAGGGGCGACCCUGAGCGGAUCCCUGCAAAGCCGGUCCCAGUUCGGAUUGCAGUCUGCAACUCGACUGCAUGAAGUUGGAAUCGCUAGUAAUCGCGGAUCAGCCAAGCCGCGGUGAAUACGUUCCCGGGCCUUGUACACACCGCCCGU
This 333-nucleotide ribosomal RNA is filed under the name uncultured bacterium. RNAcentral describes it as "bacterial SSU rRNA". It matches the Rfam family "Bacterial small subunit ribosomal RNA", at positions 1066 to 1397 of the family's 1533-position model. The record is from RNAcentral.